This is a long non-coding RNA of Drosophila innubila, 396 nucleotides long. RefSeq lists it as uncharacterized. NCBI's taxonomy places the organism in Eukaryota, Metazoa, Arthropoda, Insecta, Diptera, Drosophilidae. The transcript is spliced from 2 exons. The record is from RefSeq and is a predicted model, not a curated record.
CGACUAAGACUCGUGAGGAACGGACACGCGGCCAAUAGCAAACGGGCAAAACGUGUCAUGCGAAUCGAAUUACGAAUCAACUCGUCAACCAAGUGUGAGUGCUUGAAUGCAAGUGAAUAACGUACAACCGGCUUGGACUCCAUCACUGAUUUGCUAACCUCAAUCCGUUUAUAAACCGUGUGCGUGUUGCCAACUCCCAAGACAUUCAUAAUAAAUGCAAACGAUCGUCGUUCUGGCCAAGUGCCAAAGUGAAAAUAACAAAUAACAAAGAACAAAAUAUGAAAAGGAAAACAACGAGUUGCGAGCGUGUAAAUCAUUGAGUGUCAGCAGAUUAAAAAUGCAGUCAAGUGAAGCACGUGUAAUACAAAAUGCUUUUAUGUAAAGCAAUGUAAAAAU